UACGUAGGGUGCGAGCGUUAAUCGGAAUUACUGGGCGUAAAGCGUGCGCAGGCGGUUCGUUAAGUUCGAUGUGAAAGCCCCGGGCUCAACCUGGGAACUGCAUUGGAAACUGGCGAGCUUGAGUGCGGCAGAGGGGGGUGGAAUUCCGCGUGUAGCAGUGAAAUGCGUAGAGAUGCGGAGGAACACCGAUGGCGAAGGCAGCCCCCUGGGCUGACACUGACGCUCAGGCACGAAAGCGUGGGGAGCAAACAGG
This 253-nucleotide ribosomal RNA is filed under the name uncultured bacterium. RNAcentral describes it as "partial 16S ribosomal RNA". It matches the Rfam family "Bacterial small subunit ribosomal RNA", at positions 524 to 776 of the family's 1533-position model. The record is from RNAcentral.